This is a non-coding RNA of Camelina sativa (false flax), 167 nucleotides long. Lineage: Eukaryota; Viridiplantae; Streptophyta; Magnoliopsida; Brassicales; Brassicaceae. The record is from RefSeq and is a predicted model, not a curated record.
AGGAAGAAUAUUUCGGAGCUUCCAAAUUCAUGAAGAUUGGGGACCUUAAGGGGUUUUUCGGAUUGCUUAUGGUCAAUAUGCAACAGCUGAGAACGAAACUGAAUAUAUUGGACAACUCUUAUGGAAUUGGAACUGCUAACACAGCACUCGUAUAUCACGAUGGAAAA